GGGGGAGGCGGCGGCCGCAAUCUCGGCCCUGCGGAGCGCUGCCCUUUUAUGGAAAUGAAGGACCAGGCACAGGGAUGGAAUCCAACAUCCGGGCUCUCCGGCUGCGGAGCUGGGGAGGGGGGCGGGGGCGCGCGCGGGGGCCGAGGCGGCGCCUGCGAGCGGGGUCUGGGCUUCGCGCGUGAGAAGCCGCGGCGGGAAGUUCCCAGGCCCGGGGACGUGUGCGGGGAACCUGGGCCCGGGCCGCGGGGACAUCGCGCCGGGGAGCUAGGGAGAGGAGUUGGGAUGCAGAAACUUUUACGAUGUCUGCCUUGAACAUCCCACAAAAGCAGGAGAAAGGUCAGAGGGGCGAAUGAGUCACAAAAGUUGCCUGGCAAGCGGGGUCCGGCACCGAUCCUCAGCUCCUGUUGGACCCCCCGGGCGUGGGCGAGCAUUCCUAACCCCUUCAACCCAAGCGCCUGCCAGAAGCCAGAGCGUGGCCAUUGCGCUCCUGCUGGAAAGGGGGGGGAACAUCCCCUCGGGGCAGUAGUUUGCCCGAGACCGAUUCUCUGCCCUCUCCAACUGUUGGCGCGCACUUGCGACUUUUCAUCCUCAACUUAAAAGACUAUUCAGUGGUUCGGAUGCACGCAGUGUCUUCCUCGCUCCCCGCCACACUUGGAAGAGAUUUAAGGAGCUUUGAACGGUGCUCACAAAGGGAAGAUCUUUACCUGUUGAAGACUGACUAGCGAUGGAGAACGGCCCACAGAGACGGCCCACUUCAUCUUCCCCACUAACUAAUGUACUUACUCUGUUGAAGGGAACUGUUCAGAAUCAGCAAGCCAGUGAAAUAGCCUUAUCUAGCAAAUCCAUGGCUCAAAAUUAUUUAGGUCAUAAAGAGGUGCUCUCAGGUGACAAGAAGAGCCCAGCAGCUGAACAGUGCCAUCUGGUGCCCGGGAGGUGUCAUUUUGAAGCUUUUCUCUCCUUUGAACUAAUCUCACCAAACCAUUAAGGCUCACUACCAACUGUAAUGCCAGUUCUAGGGGAUCCGAUGCUCUCUUCUGGCCCCUGUGGGUAUCAGGAACUGGUGAGAUGCUCAGUAGGUAAAGACGCUUGCCAUCAAGUCUGAUGACCUGAGUUCCAUGCACAGGACCCACAUGAUGGAACUGGCUACCACAAGUUGUUCCCUGGCCUAUGUAUGCAUGCCAUGGUAUGUGCAACCCUCUCCCCCAAUAAAUAAAUGUAAUUUAAAAAGCAGAUAA
Molecule: long non-coding RNA, 1235 nt
Filed under: Cricetulus griseus (Chinese hamster)
Lineage: Eukaryota; Metazoa; Chordata; Mammalia; Rodentia; Cricetidae
Description: lncRNA (ENSCGRG00015034238.1)
Source: RNAcentral